Small nuclear RNA from Micropterus dolomieu (smallmouth bass), 127 nucleotides. RefSeq annotates it as U4atac minor spliceosomal RNA. The transcript has a single exon. The record is from RefSeq and is a predicted model, not a curated record. Lineage: Eukaryota; Metazoa; Chordata; Actinopteri; Centrarchiformes; Centrarchidae.
UCUUUCCUUGACAUGGGGUGAAAGAGCUGUUCAAUGAACGCAGAGUGAGAGCAGCCCUGCUAACACCAUCCCAACACGUAUGCGUCACCUCGACUCCUAUCUAGAGCAUGGUGCAGUUUUUAGAACA